ACUCCUACGGGAGGCUGCAGUCGAGGAUCUUCGUCAAUGGGCGCAAGCCUGAACGAGCGAUGCCGCGUGAGCGAUGAAGGCCUUCGGGUUGUAAAGCUCAAAAGGGGUGAGAAAGGGCAACUUGAUCGAACCCCAGUAAGCUCGGGCUAAGUUCGUGCCAGCAGCCGCGGUAAGACGAACCGAGCGAACGUUGUUCGGAAUCACUGGGCUUAAAGGGCGCGUAGGCGGGUGCUCAAGUCCGGGGUGAAAUCCUCCAGCUCAACUGGAGAACUGCCUCGGAUACUGGGUGUCUCGAGUGUGGUAGGGGUAUGCGGAACUAUCGGUGGAGCGGUGAAAUGCGUUGAUAUCGAUAGGAACUCCGGUGGCGAAGGCGGCAUACUGGACCACUACUGACGCUGAUGCGCGGAAGCCAA
Molecule: ribosomal RNA, 413 nt
Filed under: uncultured Planctomycetota bacterium
Lineage: Bacteria; Pseudomonadati; Planctomycetota
Description: bacterial SSU rRNA
Rfam family: Bacterial small subunit ribosomal RNA
Source: RNAcentral